GGAGGUGAGCAAGUGUGUGUGUGUUUCCGGCGGCUGCUAGGCUGCUGCCUCAGCCUCCGGGAUCACGGGCUCAAGCAGUAGACACGGAACUGGGUCCUAGCAGUCCACCGGCUCUCGGACCCUGCAGCCUGUCGCCAUGGACCGGGAUCUUCUACGUCAGUCGCUGAAUUGCCACGGGUCGUCAUUGCUCUCCCUACUGCGGAACGAACAGCAGGACAAUCCGCACUUCCGGAGCCUCCUAGGGUCGGCAUCCGAGCCCGCCCGYGGCCCGCCGCCCCAGCAGCACUUACCGGGCAGAAAAGAGAAAAGAGUUGACAACAUUGAAAUACAAAAAUUCAUCUCCAAAAAAGCAGAUCUGCUUUUUGCACUUUCCUGGAAAUCGGAUGCACCUGCAACUUCUGAAGUUAAUGAAGACAAUGAAGAUCAUUAUGCAGUCAUGCCACCUUUAGAGCAAUUCAUGGAGAUACCUAGUAUGGACCGGAGGGAGCUGUUUUUCCGUGAUAUUGAGCGUGGUGAUAUAGUGAUUGGAAGAAUUAGUUCUAUUCGAGAAUUUGGUUUUUUCAUGGUAUUGAUCUGUUUAGGAAGUGGCAUCAUGAGAGAUAUAUCCCACUUAGAAAUCACAGCUCUUUGUCCAUUAAGAGAUGUGCCUUCUCACAGUAACCAUGGGGAUCCUUUAUCAUAUUACCAAACUGGUGACAUCAUUCGAGCUGGAAUCAAGGAUAUYGACAGAUACCAUGAAAAGCUUGCAGUAUCUCUUUAUAGCUCAGCUCUUCCACCACACCUGUCUGGUAUUAAACUAGGUGUAAUUACUUCUGAGGAGCUUCCUUUGUAUUACAGGAGGAGUGUUGAACUAAAUAGUAAUUCUUUGGAGUCCUAUGAAAAUAUCAUGCAGAGUUCUCUGGGAUUUGUUAAUCCCGGAGUAGUUGAAUUCCUUCUAGAAAAACUUGGAAUAGAUGAAUCUAAUCCACCAUCUUUAAUGAGAGGCUUACAAAGCAAAAAUUUCUCUGAAGAUGAUUAUGCUUCUGCAUUAAGAAAGAAACAGUCUGCGUCUUGGGCCUUAAAGUGUGUGAAGAUUGGAGUUGAUUAUUUUAAGGUUGGACGCCACGUGGAUGCUAUGAAUGAAUACAAUAAAGCUCUGGAAAUAGAUAAGCAAAAUGUGGAAGCUUUGGUAGCUCGUGGAGCAUUAUAUGCAACAAAAGGAAGUCUGAACAAAGCAAUAGAAGAUUUUGAGCUUGCAUUGGAAAACUGUCCAACUCACAGAAAUGCAAGAAAAUACCUCUGCCAAACACUUGUAGAAAGAGGAGGGCAGCUAGAAGAAGAAGAAAAGUUUUUAAAUGCUGAAAGCUACUAUAAGAAAGCUUUGGCUUUGGAUGAGACUUUUAAAGAUGCAGAGGAUGCUUUGCAGAAACUUCAUAAAUAUAUGCAGGUGAUUCUUUAUUUCCUCUUAGAAACCUAGAGAUAUUUAAAAGUAAUACCAAAGUAUAAUGUUCUAGGAAAAACUUUUGAUUACCUAGUGGAACAUUAUGAAGUUCCUUUUUAGGUUUAGCUUAUCCUGAUUAGGUUUGGCAUUGCUUCAUAGUGCCUAUUCCUCUUUUUGUUUGUUUAUAUUCAAAAGUAAAAAUAGCCCUAUAAGAAAAUUCCUUUUACCUAAAUUCAGUAUAAAAGUAUGAAAACUAUCUAUGGGCUUACCUGGUAAAUAUGAAAUUAUCAGUGUUGCUACUGUAUAAUUGAGUUAAUUAUARAAAUCUUUUUGAGACAUAUUUUCAUCUGCCUUUUCCUGUAAUACUGAUGAUGAUGUUUUCUCAUGCAUUUUCUUCUGAAUUGGACCAUUGCUGCUGUGUCUGUGACAUCUGGUGCUGCUCAUCCCCAUCCACAAACUGGAAAAUGAUAUCUUAUGUAAUCAUGCAUCCAACUGGGCUGUGCUAUUUUUAAAAUGGUUUGUAUUUGAACGUGGUGAUUUCCUCCCUUCAAUUCACAUUAAUGGAAUAUAUGUAUUUGCAUCUGACCUUUAAAAUUUAUAUCUUAUUUAAAUUUUUCAAUUUUUAAAAAUUCUUUUUUUUCCACAUGCGUUUUUUCCCCCUCUUUCUUGCACUCUGGGUCAUUGGUACCACUGCAAUGGCUUCCCCUUUUUUCAUGGGAUACCAACUGCAAUAUGGUCCUCAAUACUGUUCUGGCCAUUCCAAUGAUUAAUGCCAAACAUCUAUGUGAUUAAUUUUUUUAUGUUAAAAUCAAAUACUGUUUAAUGCUGGCAAUAUGGUGAUUUGAUUAAAAUGGGUUUCUGGUUGGGGGUGGUCUUUUGAAUAUUAUUUUGCAUAUUGUGCUAUUUUUAACGUGUGGUUUUUUCCGAUAUCUGGGUUCUAAAAGAAAUCUUUGGAAUUAAGAGAAAAACAAGCUGAAAAGGAAGAAAAGCAGAAAACAAAGAAAAUAGAAACAAGUGCAGAAAAGUUGCGUAAGCUCUUAAAAGAGGAGAAAAGGUAAACUAUAAUAUUCAGUAUUUUUUAACUUAAAGCAACUACUGAGUUGAGCCCAAAGUGCCAUAAGGAGGUAAAGUAAGUAAAAAAAAAAAAAAGUAUUUCAAAUGAUAAUGUCUUAAGAAUUCUUAACAAGUAUGUGUUCAACUUGUUUUCCURUAAAAGAUUAUGUAAAAAAACAAAAUUAAUCUUAGAAUUAAAAUAUAGAAUAAGUUAUUUUAAUUUUCUGUCAUGAAGAAAUGUUUUAGAAGAGCAGGUUCUUAUCUAGGGAUGGUUUUGUUCCCCAAAAGACCUUUGUCAGUGUUUGAAAAUAUUUGUUUGUUAUAAGUGGUGGUAUGCUACUAGCAUAUGGUGGACAGAGGUCAAGGAUUCUGUUCAACAUCCUGCAAUACACAGGACCUACACCCUCACAAAGAGCUAUUUGGUCCAAAAUGUUAGUUGUGCUAAGGUGGAGGAACUAUGAAACUAAAGAGGGUCAGAUAUAAAACUUCAGUUUUCUCCCUGUGUGUUAAUAUAGUUUUAGUUUUUAAGGUAGUAUUGAAAAUGUCACUGUGUCCUUCAGAAUUGACCUGCUUACAGUGACACCUGUCCACAUAGGUAUUUUUCCCAGAAGUCAUGAUUGAUGAUAAAAAUUGGACCUCAUAGUAACAGAUUAUUGUUACAUCAUUUAUCUGAGCUACAGCUUAUAGGAAAUMUGCUAAAGAAGAAAAGAAGAAAAUCAUCCUCCUCUUCAAGUGUUUCUUCUGCUGAUGAAUCAGUUUCUUCCUCAUCCUCUUCCUCU
Urocitellus parryii (Arctic ground squirrel) is the source of this 3252-nucleotide non-coding RNA. NCBI's taxonomy places the organism in Eukaryota, Metazoa, Chordata, Mammalia, Rodentia, Sciuridae. The record is from RefSeq and is a predicted model, not a curated record.